This is an RNA transcript of Vespa velutina, 4068 nucleotides long. It is a transcript of the gene named latrophilin-like protein LAT-2, with no coding region annotated. The transcript is spliced from 9 exons. Lineage: Eukaryota; Metazoa; Arthropoda; Insecta; Hymenoptera; Vespidae. The record is from RefSeq and is a predicted model, not a curated record.
AUCAGAAAAAUGAUCUGUAAAAAGACAUUAGAAAAAAAUGUAGAUCGUCAUACAUACGUAAAUAGUUUAUAAAUUUGGCGGGUCGGUAACCGGCUCAAGCGUGAUUGGAUGGACUCGUUGAUUGGUUGAAACAUAUGCGCCAUAUCGGUACAGUGAGUAAAGUAGGAACAAAAAGUGGCGGUCAGUCGUGAACCGCGCGUCACACGGAUAGGAAGUGGUAGUUUAGUCUAAUGCUUUACUGUAAUAUCAUUUCCGAUUUUUAAUAAAAUAUCGUUGACUUUUUUUGAUCGAAAUAAACAAGAAUAUUUGAUAACAAUACGGAAUCGUAUAUGAUAAAUAGAAGAAAAUCAUUUAUAGAAACGACGUUUUCUAAUGCGUCUUGUUAUGAAUAGAAUAGCAAUAGAAUCUUAACGAUAUUAAUAGAAACAGAUGAUUAGCGUGUAUUCUCAUUACUUUCCAUUUUAAUUAUUCGUAAUCUUUAAAAGAGGUGAGACAUAAGCGUUUCAAGAUUGAAGAUGAUGUGCGCGCAAUAAAUUCAAGCAGUUUAACACGUGCUCGCGCGUACACGUGGACUCAUCGAAAUGUGAGAUAGAAGAGUAUAAGAGGAAUUCGAUUGUCGGGUGCUGUCGAUGCGACGUCAAACAUUUUUGAUCAUCGUCAAGAUACAUAUAGCAAACAAGUGGUUACACACAAAAUGGAGAGUCUCUACACCGGUGCGAUUCAUGGAUUUCAUCAGCCUAACGGAGGAAUGGUGGCAAAUGGAUUUUCCACGGGCAUCGCCAGUUCCUUCGAUCAAGAUGGAGUCUUGAGUCUCAUUGUUGUCCUCGGAGGAAGUCUUUCUUUGGUGGCACUCGUAUUUGCAUUCAUAACUUACAGUCUGUUCUCGGAUCUGAGAAGUUUGGCAGGUACCACCCUCAUGAAUCUUUUGGCAGCCCUCUUCAUGGUUCAACUCCUUUUCAUCGUCGGCGUAGGAGGUGUUCAGGAUUCGGAGCUUUGCAUUUCCCUCGGAUUGAGCCUUCAAUAUCUGAGGGUAUCGGUGGUUUGUUGGUUAGCUGCGAUGUGCCAUCAUCUCUAUGCCACAGUGGCCUCAAUACCUCGUCGUGACGAUCCUCCUACGUAUCUCAAAUAUAGCGUCUUCGCCUGGGGUGCACCCCUUGUCACUCUUGCCGUUGCUACCCUUGUACAGAGUCGAGAGAGCAAUGAUUUCUGGAACGUUGUGGAUCUGACGCCGUUCAACUGCUGGUUUCUUGGAACGAACGCAACGGUCUACGCCUACGGAUUGCCAAUCGUCCUGCUUCUCAUGGCCUCCGGAUAUUACCUCGUGAAAGCCGCGAUCGUAUCGAGGUAUACGUGUAGCAUGCAAUUGGAAAUCAAGCAACGCGAGAAAAUGAAGAGAAGGCGCACGUUACAACUGAUGCUUUUCCUGAAGGUCUGCAUGGUAAUUGGUUUCGUGGCAGCUUGCGGUGUAGCUUCGAGGGUAUGGAAGAUGCCUUUUCUAUGGGCUGUCUUUUGCACGGGUCAUUCGCUUCAGGGUCUCUCCGUGGCACUGUCGGUCGCAUGCAAUUGCAGAGUGCUCAAAGUCUACGCGAGAAAAUCGCAUCCUCAACCGCAGCAGAUCACCAAGUCGAGUAGUAGCAUGCAGCUGCUCGCACCUGCACCUGAUCCAGUCUAGAUCGAAUUCCUCUGUAGGUUUCAAUCUAGACGGUCUCAUUUUAACAACGGAUGGAAGAGAGAGAAAUAGAGAGAGAGUGAGAAAGAGAGUGUGUGUGAGAGAGAGAGAGAGAGAGGGGGGGGAGAGAUAGUAUCGAGUGAACAUACCUUGUGAGAAGGAAGGAGGAAAGGAAGUUACGGAGAUAGAUCGUGUCGUCCACGCAUCGUCGCUAUUUUUACAUCAAGAUUAGUUCACAGUUCACUUACGAGUUCGUUACCCUGACCUUCCACGUAUCGAUGAUUUAACUAACAAAAAGAGAUACGGAGAAAUAUUAUAGGCCAGAAUAUCAACAAUUGUUUCUAACGAAAGAUCGUUAAAAAUGGUCUGUCUGUUUUAUCAUGUUUAAUACUUUUUUCAGAUCACAACAUCCAAUUGAAGAGUAUGGAACAAAACGCAAAAGCUUCUUACAGAUUUCUUGCGUUUCUUACAGGUAUUUUCAAAAUGGACAUUAGAAGAAACGUAGAAAUAAAUUAUUAGCGUUUUCAACGAAAUCGCACAUUUUUGUACAAUUUAACGCGAGUGAGAAUGAUAGAUAGAUCAAUCCUUUAGGCUGAAGAACAUAUCAUCGUUUGAAUAUCGACAGCCGAUUAAUAACGGAGCCGGUUGAACCAAGAGUGAAAAUCACUUCGUUGCUUGACUUAGUGAGAGAUUAAUUUCGAACGUACCGUGUAUCGUUCGAGCGUGAAUUAAAACCUAUUUACCGCGUGUUUAUAAGGGCUGAUAACGUACCAUAGAUAGCUUAAAUGGGGACACCAGGAAAUAUGAUUGAAAUCAUGUUUGUACGCUAAAUAUAUGCGUGAUCGAGGACGUAAAGACGAUAAAUGGAUAAAAUAUAGUAUUACUCUCGAUCAUUUGUUAAAUAAAUCCCAAACAUUAAUUAAAAGAAACGAGAAUCCGUAAAAACUAAUUACACCAUAAAAGAGGAUUUUACGUUUUAUGUCAUUUUAAUUGCAUCGCUAGUUAAUUACCGACCAUUAAUAUAUCACUGAUAAAUCAUAUCCGAUUUUAUUUUAUUCAUUUAAACUUUCAUUUCUGUUUUUUUUUCAUUUUGAUAUUUUAAAAACAAUUUACAUUUAAAAUAGCUAAUACUUACGAUUAUUCGUUUAUCACAGCGUAAAAACAAUGACAAGCUUGCGAUGCAGGUAAGUCGUGCGACAUUUUCAAUAGUAUAUACAAUGAUAUAAUAGAUUACUUUCAGUUUCACUUAUCGUUUAAUUCUUUUUCCUAAUGAUGAUAAGGUAUAUCGAUGAAUAUACCUCCAUUUAUUUGUCAAAUUCAUCGAUGAUUAUACGUUUUUCUUAUAUUUUCCUUCGUUUUAUCUCUUCUACUAAUGUCCUUUGUUUCUGGAAGAAAGAAAAAAACAGCAGAUAGUUUUUGUACCAAGAAACGGAUUAGAGAGUCAAAUUGUAGAAUUUUAGAAUUUCGUAUUUACUCAUUUAUUAAAAAUAAAAAGAUAUAAUUUAGUUUAUUCAGCGAUAUCGGAAAGAACUUCAUAAUUUCAUUAAUUAUGGAAAGUUCGGAAUUAAUAUUUUUAAUCAGCUAGAUUUGCUUGUUGUAACCAAUUUAAAUAUUCCCGAGUACAGUACAAAAAUAUUUGAUUAGUUUUCGAAACUAAAAUUCACCAUUGAGCGACUCAGAUUCAAGUGUUGCAAAAGUUCAAUUGUUGCAAUUUAAAAGAAUGCGGUUGACGAUGUUUAAUUCCAGGAAUAAGUUUUAUAGGGCAAUAAAUAUAUAAUGGCUCAAGUAAUUAAUCGAAUUUCUAUCCUUUUUUUUUUUUAUCAUCAGAAUUAUUAACUACUAAUAAUGCAAAAGUUAAAUUAAACAAAGCUUUCGUGCAAAGAACUCUGAAAUCAAACAAGCGGUGCAUUAACAAUAAGCAAAUACGCCUUAGGUUACAUGACUAUAUAUAUGUUUUCGUACAAUAUCAAUAUUUUUUUAUCGUAAGAUACAAUUCGCUACAGACAGAUAUAUUUACUUUUAAAAAAUGAUCAUUUCGAGCUUCACAUAUAUUUGAAAAAAAAAAGAAAAAUAAAUAAAUAAAUAAAAUAAAUAAACAAAUUUUUUAAAUAUUUUCACGUCAAGAUGAAAUGAUGUUACCACAUGAGCAUAGAAUAAGAUCAGCAAAUACAGCUACAUCCAUCUAACGGCAUAUCUGUAACUUUUAUCUACAAUCGUUGGUACACCGUUAGAUGGCCAUACCAUUGCAUGUCAAGUACAGAAUGACUUAAUUGUGUACUUAACAUAAAUUGAUAUGAAUUGAUAUGAAUUGACAUGAAUAACGUAACUGCUUAUUAAAAUUCCAUGAAAUUUCAAUUUUUUUUUUUUCUAUUUCUGUUUACAUAUAUCUCCUUCUCUCU